Molecule: ribosomal RNA, 256 nt
Filed under: uncultured bacterium
Lineage: Bacteria
Description: partial 16S ribosomal RNA
Rfam family: Bacterial small subunit ribosomal RNA
Source: RNAcentral
UACGGGGGGAGCAAGCGUUGUUCGGAUUUACUGGGCGUAAAGGGCGCGUAGGCGGCCUCUGCAAGUCGACUGUGAAAUCUCCGGGCUUAACCCGGAAAGGUCAGCCGAUACUGCAGGGCUAGAGUGCAGAAGGGGCAACUGGAAUUCUCGGUGUAGCGGUGAAAUGCGUAGAUAUCGAGAGGAACACCUGCGGCGAAGGCGGGUUGCUGGGCUGACACGUGACGCUGACAGCGCGAAAGCUAGGGGAGCGAACGGG